This 465-nucleotide ribosomal RNA is filed under the name Vreelandella stevensii. RNAcentral's name for it is "partial 16S ribosomal RNA". It matches the Rfam family "Bacterial small subunit ribosomal RNA", at positions 338 to 795 of the family's 1533-position model. Lineage: Bacteria; Pseudomonadati; Pseudomonadota; Gammaproteobacteria; Oceanospirillales; Halomonadaceae. The record is from RNAcentral.
CCUACGGGGGGCAGCAGUGGGGAAUAUUGGACAAUGGGGGCAACCCUGAUCCAGCCAUGCCGCGUGUGUGAAGAAGGCCCUCGGGUUGUAAAGCACUUUCAGUGAGGAAGAACGCCUGGUGGUUAAUACCCAUCAGGAAAGACAUCACUCACAGAAGAAGCACCGGCUAACUCCGUGCCAGCAGCCGCGGUAAUACGGAGGGUGCGAGCGUUAAUCGGAAUUACUGGGCGUAAAGCGCGCGUAGGUGGCUUGAUAAGCCGGUUGUGAAAGCCCCGGGCUCAACCUGGGAACGGCAUCCGGAACUGUCAAGCUAGAGUGCAGGAGAGGAAGGUAGAAUUGCCGGUGUAGCGGUGAAAUGCGUAGAGAUCGGGAGGAAUACCAGUGGCGAAGGCGGCCUUCUGGACUGACACUGACACUGAGGUGCGAAAGCGUGGGUAGCAAACAGGAUUAGAUACCCCGGUAGUC